AUACAUGAGUUGUGUGAAAGUGAAUUGACGAGAGAAAGCUUCUCAGUUGGAAUAUUUCAUAUGGCACUCUCAUCACUUCUUGCAUUAGGAGAGCUUUUGCUAGCACUUCCGAUUCUGAAAUUGUAUAAAAUGUUUUGUUUUCGGUGGAGUCAGGAUAUUGCUGCUAAUCAUUGUGAGAGUAUAAUCUCUUAUCCAUAAAAAAAAGUAGACAAUCAGCUGACAAUAAUUUAGCCAAAUCUGUGCUCGGAGAGCAAGCUAUAGUGUACUGUGGUGUUAACUACUAUAACAUUAUGAUUCUUAUCACUUUCAUCUGUAAAAGUGUGGUGCUUCACUCUUAAAAUCUUUUGCUGGUAAGUAAAUAUAGUUUUGUAAUUUCGGUAUUGCAGGCUUUUCCCAGUGGACAUGAGACAACAAACUAUCUGUGCCAUGCUCGUCCUUGGAAAGAAAAAUCAAACAGGUGGUUAGGUCCUUUUGCUCAGAGAUAAAGGAGGCUUUAGUGGUAGGAAAGUAUUCUGUUCUUUUCUCAGCGCACUAUCUACUUGUCGACAUGGGGGCUUGGUAGAUGAAGGGAGCAAAUUUUUAAUCCAUUGAAGAAAACAUCAUCUUGUGCCUAAUUUGGAAUACUACGCAUGUAGUGUGGAUCUUUUAGCUCAUGCUGGUUUAUUUGAUGAAACCUUGAGUGUAAUUGAGACAAUGCAUAUGGAACCUGGUGCUGGAGUUUGGGGAGACUUUCUAGAUGCUUGUAAAAUGCAUGAUAUUGUUGAUUUAGCAAAAUUAUAACUAAAAAAUCUUGUCAGACUUGAACCAGACCCUGCUCACUAUGUUUUCUUGUCAUCCAUUUAUGCACAAUCUGGUAGGUGGGGUGAAGCAAGAAGCACGAGAUCACAGAUGACUGACACAUGAUUGAGAAAAACUCCUGGAUGUAGUUUGCUUGAGGAUAAAAGAAUGAUGUACAACAUUUCAAGUGGGUGAAAAAAGCCAACAUACUUCAAAAUCAUGACAAAUUAUUGAGGUUCAGCAAACAAUGCAUGACCACUUGAAGUUGAUAUUGCCUCCGCAUACAGGAAUGCCUACAACAACCUGGUUGCUGUGUUGGCUGCAUUAAAUAACUGAAAUUUUGGUCAAGGCUACUUUGGAUACUCCUCAAGAACCAGGCCCAUAUGCUUUAGAUAUGAGUGGCAUGGGAAAAGGUCAAAUAUGAGUGAAUGGUGAAAGCAUUGGACGCCACUAGCCUGGAUACAGUGCACGUGAUCAUAACUGUGGCACGUGUAAUUAUGCUGGAUAUUACAAUCAGAAUAAAUGCCUAACCAGUUAUGGAGAACCCUUUCAGAAAUGGUGAGAUACGUUUUAUUUUCUUUCAAAUUCUAUACUAUACUUCUAACCAAGCGUUCAACGGGUCAUUGUGUCUAUUGGUCAGGUGGACUCUUAAUGUCUGUUGUGUUGAAUUCUUUUUCUAAUUUCACCGGCUCGAGCUAUCACUUGAAACUGAAUUCGUUUCUCUCUUUUUUUAAAAUUUUGGUGACGAGGAUGCCAUUUGAUGCAAAGCAAGAUUAUUCAGCAGAAUAGUCAAUAGAGGCAGUUGUUUUUCUCUUUUCAUGUGUGUGCUGGGUAAAUCUUGGAUAUCUAUUGAGUUGGACUCAACUUUUACAUAGUAUAGAUUCUCUACCACUUGAUACACACAUGUAUGUAAUUGAUUUAAAUUUCGGGUUUAAAAUUUUCUAUGCGCUUUUACUAGAUUAAGAAACACUGUCAUGUAUGCCUGUUGUCCUUCCAUUUUUCUGUGUUUUGAGAUAUAAUGUCCUAGCAAUGAAGAAACAAUUUUCUA
This is a long non-coding RNA of Daucus carota subsp. sativus, 1825 nucleotides long. RefSeq lists it as uncharacterized. NCBI's taxonomy places the organism in Eukaryota, Viridiplantae, Streptophyta, Magnoliopsida, Apiales, Apiaceae. The transcript is spliced from 4 exons. The record is from RefSeq and is a predicted model, not a curated record.